ACGCUGGCGGCGUGCCUAAUACAUGCAAGUCGAACGGCUUUUCUAUGGAAGCUUGCUUCCACUGAGAAGAUAGUGGCGAACGGGUGAGUAACACGUGGGUAACCUGCCCAUAAGAGGGGGGAUAACAUCCGGAAACGGGUGCUAAUACCGCAUAGUUUUCUUGAUCGCAUGAUCGGGAAAGGAAAGACGGCCUUUGUGCUGUCGCUUAUGGAUGGACCCGCGGCGUAUUAGUUAGUUGGUGAGGUAACGGCUCACCAAGACGAUGAUACGUAGCCGACCUGAGAGGGUGAUCGGCCACAUUGGGACUGAGACACGGCCCAAACUCCUACGGGAGGCAGCAGUAGGGAAUCUUCCGCAAUGGACGAAAGUCUGACGGAGCAACGCCGCGUGAGUGAAGAAGGUUUUUCCGGAUCGUAAAACUCUGUUGUCAGAGAAGAACAAGUUGGAGAGUAACUGCUCCAGCCUUGACGGUAUCUGACCAGAAAGCCACGGCUAACUACGUGCCAGCAGCGGC
This 514-nucleotide ribosomal RNA is filed under the name uncultured bacterium. Its description in RNAcentral is "bacterial SSU rRNA". It matches the Rfam family "Bacterial small subunit ribosomal RNA", at positions 33 to 518 of the family's 1533-position model. The record is from RNAcentral.